Molecule: ribosomal RNA, 447 nt
Filed under: uncultured bacterium
Lineage: Bacteria
Description: bacterial SSU rRNA
Rfam family: Bacterial small subunit ribosomal RNA
Source: RNAcentral
AUUGAACGCUGGCGGCAUGCCUUACACAUGCAAGUCGAACGGUAACAGGUUAAGCUGACGAGUGGCGAACGGGUGAGUAAUAUAUCGGAACGUGCCCAGUCGUGGGGGAUAACUGCUCGAAAGAGCAGCUAAUACCGCAUACGACCUGAGGGUGAAAGCGGGGGAUCGCAAGACCUCGCGCGAUUGGAGCGGCCGAUAUCAGAUUAGGUAGUUGGUGGGGUAAAAGCCUACCAAGCCAACGAUCUGUAGCUGGUCUGAGAGGACGACCAGCCACACUGGGACUGAGACACGGCCCAGACUCCUACGGGAGGCAGCAGUGGGGGAAUUUUGGACAAUGGGCGCAAGCCUGAUCCAGCCAUGCCGCGUGCGGGAAGAAGGCCUUCGGUUGUAACCGACUUUGUCAGGAGAAAGGUUACUGGCUAAUAUCCGGGACGUCAUGACGGUACC